RNAcentral lists this ribosomal RNA (253 nucleotides) under uncultured bacterium. Its description in RNAcentral is "partial 16S ribosomal RNA". It matches the Rfam family "Bacterial small subunit ribosomal RNA", at positions 524 to 776 of the family's 1533-position model. The record is from RNAcentral.
UACGAAGGGGGCUAGCGUUGUUCGGAAUUACUGGGCGUAAAGCGUAUGCAGGUGGAUUGUUAAGCCAGGGGUGAAAUCCUGAGGCUCAACCUCAGAACUGCCUUUGAUACUGGCAAUCUUGAGUCCGGGAGAGGUUAGUGGAACUGCGAGUGUAGAGGUGAAAUUCGUAGAUAUUCGCAAGAACACCAGUGGCGAAGGCGGCUAACUGGCCCGGUACUGACGCUGAGAUACGAAAGCGUGGGGAGCAAACAGG